Molecule: ribosomal RNA, 507 nt
Filed under: uncultured Aquiflexum sp.
Lineage: Bacteria; Pseudomonadati; Bacteroidota; Cytophagia; Cytophagales; Cyclobacteriaceae
Description: bacterial SSU rRNA
Rfam family: Bacterial small subunit ribosomal RNA
Source: RNAcentral
AGAGUUUGAUCAUGGCUCAGGAUGAACGCUAGCGGCAGGCCUAAUACAUGCAAGUCGGGCGGCAAGCGGUGUAGCAAUACACUGCCUAGAGCGGCGAACGGGUGCGCAACGCGUAUGCAACCUGGCCCCUACCGGGGGAUAGCCCGCGGAAACGCGGAUUAACACCCCAUGGUGCGUGUUUGCCGCAUGGCGGAUACGCUAAAGGUUACGGUAGGGGAUGGGCAUGCGUGGGAUUAGCUAGUUGGUGGGGCAACGGCCCACCAAGGCGACGAUUCCUAGGGGUUCUGGGAGGAAGGUCCCUGAGAUACGGGCCAGACUCCUACGGGAGGCAGCAGUAGGGAAUAUUGGGCAAUGGGCGGAAGCCUGACCCAGCCAUGCCGCGUGCGGGAAGAAGGCCCUUUGGGUCGUAAACCGCUUUUCCGGGGGAAGAAAAGGCCCGUGCGCGGGACAUUGCCGGUACCCCGGGAAUAAGCACCGGCUAACUCCGUGCCAGCAGCCGCGGUAAUA